Molecule: unclassified non-coding RNA, 335 nt
Filed under: soil metagenome
Description: partial contains 5.8S ribosomal RNA, internal transcribed spacer 2, and large subunit ribosomal RNA
Rfam family: 5.8S ribosomal RNA (bases 1-120)
Source: RNAcentral
GAUGAAGAACGUAGCGAAAUGCGAUAGGUAAUGUGAAUUGCAGAAUUCAGUGAAUCAUCGAAUCUUUGAACGCACAUUGCGCCCGCCAGUAUUCUGGCGGGCAUGCCUGUUCGAGCGUCAUUUCAACCAUCAAGCCCCCGGCUUGUGUUGGGGACCUGCGGCUGCCGCAGGCCCUGAAAACCAGUGGCGGGCUCGCUAGUCACUCCGAGCGUAGUAGUUACAUCUCGCUCAGGGCGUGCUGCGGGUUCCGGCCGUUAAAAGCCUUAUUUACCCAAGGUUGACCUCGGAUCAGGUAGGAAGACCCGCUGAACUUAAGCAUAUCAAUAAGCGGAGGA